AUACGGAGGGGGCUAGCGUUGUUCGGAAUCACUGGGCGUAAAGCGCUCGUAGGCGGAUCAGUCAGUCAGAGGUGAAAUCCCAAGGCUCAACCUUGGAACUGCCUUUGAUACUGCUGGUCCUGAGGUCGAGAGAGGUAAGUGGAAUUCCUAGUGUAGAGGUGAAAUUCGUAGAUAUUAGGAAGAACACCAGUGGCGGAGGCGGCUUACUGGCUCGAUUCUGACGCUGAGGAGCGAAAGCGUGGGGAGCAAACAGGAUUAGAAACCCUAGUAGUCC
RNAcentral lists this ribosomal RNA (274 nucleotides) under uncultured bacterium. Its description in RNAcentral is "partial 16S ribosomal RNA". It matches the Rfam family "Bacterial small subunit ribosomal RNA", at positions 523 to 796 of the family's 1533-position model. The record is from RNAcentral.